UGGGAACGUACCCUUUGGUUCGGGACAACCCAGGGAAACUUGGGCUAAUACCGGAUAAGUCCGUAAGGAGAAAGAUUUAUCGCCAAAGGAUCGGCCCGCGUCUGAUUAGCUAGUUGGUAGGGUAAUGGCCUACCAAGGCUACGAUCAGUAGCUGGUCUGAGAGGAUGAUCAGCCACAUUGGGACUGAGACACGGCCCAAACUCCUACGGGAGGCAG
This 216-nucleotide ribosomal RNA is filed under the name uncultured bacterium. RNAcentral's name for it is "partial 16S ribosomal RNA". It matches the Rfam family "Bacterial small subunit ribosomal RNA", at positions 118 to 351 of the family's 1533-position model. The record is from RNAcentral.